AAAUUGAAGGGUUUGAUCCUGGCUCAGAAUGAACGUUGGCGGCGUGGAUUAGGCAUGCAAGUCGUACGGAGGUAGCAAUACCUUAGUGGCGAAAGGGAUAGGAACACAUAGAUU
Molecule: ribosomal RNA, 114 nt
Filed under: Planctomycetaceae bacterium
Lineage: Bacteria; Pseudomonadati; Planctomycetota; Planctomycetia; Planctomycetales; Planctomycetaceae
Description: partial 16S ribosomal RNA
Rfam family: Bacterial small subunit ribosomal RNA
Source: RNAcentral